UCUGUGCCGCUCUGUUCGGCACACGAGAACGAUGGUGUAUUAAGUAACGUUUUUUCUUGAAAUCUUACUCUUCUUCAUUCAUCGUUUAACAGAAAUCCAAAAAGUUUAUUAUAGUCAGACAAGUACCAUCGUCAUCAAAUCCAUAAUCAUCUUCAUCAUGGUCCGGACACAAGCGAUGCUGCCGUUUGAAUCACCAGGAGCAUAAAAAAACCAAAUGAAUAUUCGUGAGACCAAUACUUUAUCGAUGUGAUUACUAAUCAUGUGGGCGGGCGAAGUAUAUGCGUUUGCAAGAAGAAACAAAAUUGUCCAUGGGCAUUUAACUCUCAGUGGUAAAAAACCGAAACCAUUGCCGAAGAAAUUAUGGAACGGAGAAUGAAAAA
Contarinia nasturtii (swede midge) is the source of this 380-nucleotide long non-coding RNA. RefSeq lists it as uncharacterized. The record is from RefSeq and is a predicted model, not a curated record. NCBI's taxonomy places the organism in Eukaryota, Metazoa, Arthropoda, Insecta, Diptera, Cecidomyiidae. The transcript is spliced from 3 exons.